CCAUGCCAGCCGGGGCGUCAGCGGUGCCUUGUACCUGCAAUCCGCUAUAGCAGGGGUGGUUUCCUUUUAUAAGGUUUUGGCUCGUGUGGUCCGCUUUGCAGUCGAAUUGUCAAUGACGAGUGGGUCUUGCGCAAUCGGAUGCUGUGAACCAUGUCAGGUGGGGAACCAAGCAGCAUUAAGCAGAAGUUCCGGUGUGUUGCAAGGGUGCCUGCUCUGAGGCGGUUUUCUGCAGAAACGCACACGGGCGGAAUCGAGUUUUGGGUGUAUGG
This 269-nucleotide signal recognition particle RNA is filed under the name Clostridia bacterium. RNAcentral describes it as "signal recognition particle sRNA large type". It matches the Rfam family "Bacterial large signal recognition particle RNA". Rfam says of the family: The signal recognition particle (SRP) is a universally conserved ribonucleoprotein involved in the co-translational targeting of proteins to membranes. Archaeal SRP consists of a 7S RNA and homologues of the eukaryotic SRP19 and SRP54 proteins. The record is from RNAcentral. Lineage: Bacteria; Bacillati; Bacillota; Clostridia.